UACGUAGGGGGCGAGCGUUGUCCGGAAUUAUUGGGCGUAAAGCGCGCGCAGGCGGCUGUUUAAGUCUGGUGUUUAAUCCUGGGGCUCAACCCCGGGUCGCACUGGAAACUGGGCAGCUUGAGUGCAGAAGAGGAGAGUGGAAUUCCACGUGUAGCGGUGAAAUGCGUAGAGAUGUGGAGGAACACCAGUGGCGAAGGCGACUCUCUGGGCUGUAACUGACGCUGAGGCGCGAAAGCGUGGGGAGCAAACAGG
Molecule: ribosomal RNA, 252 nt
Filed under: uncultured bacterium
Lineage: Bacteria
Description: partial 16S ribosomal RNA
Rfam family: Bacterial small subunit ribosomal RNA
Source: RNAcentral